RNAcentral lists this ribosomal RNA (1287 nucleotides) under Triticum aestivum (bread wheat). Its description in RNAcentral is "partial small subunit ribosomal RNA". Lineage: Eukaryota; Viridiplantae; Streptophyta; Magnoliopsida; Poales; Poaceae. The record is from RNAcentral.
GAGAUCCUAAGCUUGAAUGUGGGGGUCACAAAUCCUGAUUUUAUUAACCCGGGUUGGAUCUUGUUCAUCCCGAUGGGAGUUGCCGUUUUUUCCAACAGAAAGUUUGUCGGUUUACCGAUCAUAAUUGCAGUAUCAAUAUCAACUGCAAUUAUGCUCCUUUUGACGUUCACCAUUGUAUUUCUCAUGAAAAGGAGACCUCCGGUGCCCAUUGUUGAAGUGCCAAAGAAAGAGAUGGAGAGAGUUCGCAGCAACACAAGUAUAGCUAUCCUGGAGAGCCAUUACUUUCCAUCGAAGAGGAUUGCUGAUAUUGAUCCAUUCCAAACAAAGAGACCUGUGAUUUUCAGCCUGAAAGCGAUUGGAGAUGCCACAGUUAAUUUUGAUGAGAAGAGGAAGAUUAGUGGUGGAUAUGGCAUGGUCUACCUAGGUUUCAUAGGAGCACAUGUAAGAAUUUCAUGUAGUAUAUUUCUCAGCAGAUCAAAGGAGUUCUUUGCUGAGCUGAAAGUGCUGUGCAAAGUACAUCACAUGAAUAUGAUUGAGUUGAUUGGUUAUGCUGCUGGGGAGGAUCACCUAUAACUUGUUUACGAGUAUGUUCAGAAUGGAUCACUUAGGGAGCAUCUCCAUGAUCCUUUGCUGAAAGGUCAUCAACCUCUCUCAUGGACUACAAGAACACAGAUAGCAACGGAUGCUGCAUGCGGUAUUGAGUAGAUCCAUGACCAUACGAAGGCCUGCUAUGUGUACCGUGACAUCAGAACAAGCAAUAUUCUGCUAGAUGAUGGACUAAGAGCUGAAGUUUCGGAUUUUGGCUUGGUAAAGCUUGUUGAGCGCAGUGAUGAAGAAGAUUGCCUGGCAACUUGUUAUGUUGGAAAGCCAAGCAACCAACCACCGGAGUCAGUUCAUGAGCCUCACAUGACUACGAAGUCUGACGCCUAUGCGUUUGGAGUAGUUCUUGCAUAACUGAUUACUGGUCUUAGUGCACUUGUGCGGGUCAAUAAGGAAGCUAAUAAGAUAAAGUCACUUAUCUCAAUUAUGAGAAAAGCUUCCAGAUCAGAUGAUGUGGUGAGCUCACUGGAGAAAAUCAUAGAUCCCUCCUUGAAGGGCAACUACCCCAUAGAAGAAGUGUGUAAGCUGGCAAAUAUUUCGAUGUGGUGCUUGAGUGAGGAUCCAUUGGACCCUGAGAUGAGGGAGAUUAUACCAAUGCUGUCUCAAAUUGAUUUGACUUCCAUAGGGUGGGAGACAUCACUAGGAGGCGACGGUGAAGUCUUUAGUGGCGUUUUCAUUGGUAGAUGA